AGAUGCAAUCAUACCAACAUUAAUCCACCGAAAUCCAUCAUAUCUACAUAGUUAAGUGUGCUUGGGUUAGAAUAAUACUGGGAUGGGUGACCUCCCAGGAAGUCCUAGUGUUGCACCCU
Molecule: non-coding RNA, 119 nt
Organism: Picea glauca (white spruce)
Lineage: Eukaryota; Viridiplantae; Streptophyta; Pinopsida; Pinales; Pinaceae
Source: Rfam